UCCUUUCUUUCCCACCCCCACACCAACCCAUCCAUCUCCUCGCUGCCUCCUCCCUUCCAGAUCUCCUCGCUGCCCGACGGAGAGAGAGAGCUGCCUCCUCCCUUCCAGAUCGCCGCUGGCACCUCCCUCCGGCGGAGCUGGCCGUCGUCCAUGGCCUCCCGCACGCCCUACUCCUCUCACCCCUCCCCUUCCCUCACCCAACCAAAUCGCACGUCCAUGGCCACAUCCCAGCUCGAUCUCGUCGGGAACGAGGCCACCUGCAACCACCGGCCUCCAUCAAUCCAACCAUCCAUCCAUGCCCGCGGCAGCACUCCCGCCGCCCGUGCUCCUUCCCCAGCAGCGAGAGGCUUCGAGAGAGCCGAGGCGCGCUCCGAGCGGGGCGAUCCACCAUCCGUCCCAACCUCCUCCGCCCGCCUCCUUCUGUUUUCUGCGGGUCCUGCAGAUGGCGGCGACGGGCGUCGGCGCCGGGUGCCUCGCCCCAGCGUCCGCCUACGCGCUGAUCCGGCGACGGCGGCCCGGGCGUCCGCCUGCGUCGUCCGCACGCGGCUCUGGUGCGUCGCGCGUGGCCGCUACGUCGUCGACCUCAGCAGGGAGGGCCCCGCGGCGCGCCCCGCGCAGCAGCAGCAGCAGCUGGCCCCGCCCGUCAUGCCCGGCUUCCUCGCGCCGCCCCUGCCCGCGCCUGCCCAGUCGCCGGCCUCGACGCAGCCGAGACGGACUUCAGGAAGGCGCUGGACUCGGCGCUGUUCCGGCGGUGGCUGGAGAACCUGCAGGCGGAGAAGGGCCUGCUCGCCCACGGGAAGCUCAGCCUCCGGCAGAUCCUCAUCCAGGGGGUGGACAUGUUUGGGCAGCGCGUGGGGUUCCUCAAGUUCAAAGCCGACAUCGUCGACGAGGAAACCAAAGCCAAGAUUCCAGGGAUUGUCUUUGCAAGAGGGCCUGCUGUUGCUGUGUUGAUUCUUUUGGAGUCCAAAGGGCAAACUUAUGCUGUUCUCACUGAACAGGUAUAUAUAUUACUGUGAUUUGCAGUGAAUUGUUGCAUAUGCGAAUAGUAAUAUUGUGUAGCUUGAUUAUUUGUAUUCAACUAUGCGAUGCAUGAGGAGAAACGGGUUGUUGCCCACAGCACUCUGCGGCGACGUCUUCUUCUCCUCUCUUCGCGGGUGCUCGCCUGUCCAUGCUGCCACCCAUCAAUGUUGACAAGCCACCAUCUAAAAGGUUGUCCGAGGAGUUACUUGUUACAGAAACUGCUGGUUUCGAACGCUAGCAAGCUCCUGGCAUGGACAAGACAGAAGUGGGAAGGCUAUUGCUGCUCCAUGCUCCCGGCUUGACUUAAAUAUAUGGACCUGAUUAUCUUGUUUCUGUGCCGAUUUACUUGUUUCUGUCUUACUUUGCCUAGUGUUCGAACCAGUUGGUCUGUUAGAUUUUGAAUGGCAAGUCGAUAGACUCCGUUGCUCCAUCUGUACAUAAUUCUGUUUGUGUUCGUUGUAGUGGUAAUUAUGGCUUUAAUAGUUAUUGAAGAUUGCACCUGUAAAUCUAGAUCUACUUGGAUCCUGGUGGCUUCUUUUGCCAAGCAAUAUCAUGUGCUUAUUAGUUGCAAGUUGUAUUGGUUUGCUCUGUUGCCAUGUUAAUUCUGCAACAUAUUUGGUUUUGUCUGAUUAAAAAAUUGGUCAUGCUCAUGAGCAGUAUAUAUGCACUUGGUUGGUUCGUUGUUGGCAGUUUAGCUACACAAACUGACUGACAUUGCACAAUAAAAUGUAGCAGAUUUGCUAGCAAUCCUUCUUUCUCUCAUAUAGAAGUACAUGCUAUCUAACGUGAGCAAAAUCAUUGCGUAACUACAGGUACAUCAUAUGACUAAUUUACACAGAAUACUGAUACUCGACCCCAUGCAUUCAGUUUCAGAACUUGAAACUAAUUAACCUGUGGAAACUAACCUGACUAGUAGCUUCUCUGGCUUCCAGUUUACAACUUCUAGGAUAUCAAUCAUUCAUUCUCAAGUUGCUGCUGGCAGCUACAAGUCGCCUUUUUCUGGAAUUUUCAUGUUCUUUUUUUGUGUGUAUAUGCCUUCCUCUUCGAUUUCGAGAUUGUGAUUGAGGUCAAUUGAUGGUGGUGGUUGUGCGAUGCAGAUGUUCGGGAUGGUGGAGAAGGAGAUGGAGUACCGGGUCGAGCUUUUCAACCGGCAAAUUUGGGGCUGAGGAAAGAAGACGAGGAGCAACUUCUCUCUAGUCUGGUCGUUGGAACUUCAGGACAAGGUGAAGGUUUUCAAAUGUUGAAGGAGGAGGACAAUAGGAACUUGUGUGAUGUCUUGUCAUCUAUUUUCUUUUCUUUGUUGUAGAAUAGUUCUGUUUGGCACUUACUGGUUGGAUGUAAAGAUAUGUACUGCUAGAAUGAAUGCAUGUAAAGAUAUUUUGGGCUCCUAUAAUAUUUCAUGUUGCUUUGAAAAUGUAUCGGAACUGGGCUAGGCCCAAGAUAACUUGUAGUGUGAUGUGUUGUAAUGUAAAUGGCAUAAUAAAAGAAGUUGGAUUGGAUCAA
RNA transcript from Triticum aestivum (bread wheat), 2523 nucleotides. It is a transcript of the gene named translation initiation factor IF-2, with no coding region annotated. The record is from RefSeq and is a predicted model, not a curated record. The transcript has 6 exons. Lineage: Eukaryota; Viridiplantae; Streptophyta; Magnoliopsida; Poales; Poaceae.